Molecule: ribosomal RNA, 362 nt
Filed under: uncultured bacterium
Lineage: Bacteria
Description: bacterial SSU rRNA
Rfam family: Bacterial small subunit ribosomal RNA
Source: RNAcentral
AUUGAACGCUGGCGGCAUGCCUUACACAUGCAAGUCGAACGGCAGCACGGGAGCAAUCCUGGUGGCGAGUGGCGAACGGGUGAGUAAUAUAUCGGAACGUGCCCAGUGAUGGGGGAUAGCCCGGCGAAAGCCGGAUUAAUACCGCAUACGACCUACGGGUGAAAGCAGGGGAUCGCAAGACCUUGCGUCAUUGGAGCGGCCGAUAUCAGAUUAGCUUGNGGUGGGUAAAGCCUACCAAGGCGACGAUCUGUAGCUGGUCUGAGAGGACGACCAGCCACACUGGGACUGAGACACGGCCCAGACUCCUACGGGAGGCAGCAGUGGGGAAUUUUGGACAAUGGGCGCAAGCCUGAUCCAGCCAU